Molecule: long non-coding RNA, 501 nt
Organism: Trichomycterus rosablanca
Lineage: Eukaryota; Metazoa; Chordata; Actinopteri; Siluriformes; Trichomycteridae
Exons: 3
Source: RefSeq, a predicted model, not a curated record
ACUCACCCUGUCAGCGCUGGUUCGAGACGUAACGUGUGUUCAUCCUAAUCUCUUUCCAGCAUUCACAUUGAGGUGGCAGCACAUAAAUGAUUGUUUUGGUAAAAUCAUGCCAGUCCACAGGUGAAUAUUCCAGAUUGUUGAUCAACUUUCCUUGUACGAAGCUUUGAUCGUUUCUCCUGUCUGAGACGUUCCAGCGGGAGUUUUUCCAUCGAGCGCUCCUCAGAGGGAUCGUAUCAGCGCUCGGCGUGUUAUGAGAGCGACUCAGAAACACUCUAAACCUUCCAAAAACAACAGUCAUCAAACAGUGUUUUUGUUUCAGAGACAAAGACGUUAUUGUGAGUCGUAAAGAAAAAGGAAGAACAAAAUGUGCUGCUGUAAAGGGUCUCGCUUCUCUUCUCCAGUAGAAACAUCUGGAUUAAAUAAACUGUUUAAUUAGCGCAGAGCUACAGGAACCAACAGAGACAUAAACAAAAUCAUUAUUACUGAUGGAAAAGACAAUAA